RNAcentral lists this transfer RNA (70 nucleotides) under Staphylococcus argenteus. RNAcentral's name for it is "tRNA-Lys". The stretch from base 5 to 62 matches the Rfam family "tRNA", at positions 8 to 63 of the family's 71-position model. From Rfam's summary of the family: Transfer RNA (tRNA) molecules are approximately 80 nucleotides in length. Their secondary structure includes four short double-helical elements and three loops (D, anti-codon, and T loops). Further hydrogen bonds mediate the characteristic L-shaped molecular structure. tRNAs have two regions of fundamental functional importance: the anti-codon, which is responsible for specific mRNA codon recognition, and the 3' end, to which the tRNAs corresponding amino acid is attached (by aminoacyl-tRNA synthetases). tRNAs cope with the degeneracy of the genetic code in two manners: having more than one tRNA (with a specific anti-codon) for a particular amino acid; and 'wobble' base-pairing, i.e. permitting non-standard base-pairing at the 3rd anti-codon position. The record is from RNAcentral. Lineage: Bacteria; Bacillati; Bacillota; Bacilli; Caryophanales; Staphylococcaceae.
GGCCUAGCUCAAUUGGUAGAGCAUCUGACUUUUAAUCAGAGGGUCAGAGGUUCGAAUCCUCUAUGGCUCA